Molecule: long non-coding RNA, 1158 nt
Organism: Aphis gossypii (cotton aphid)
Lineage: Eukaryota; Metazoa; Arthropoda; Insecta; Hemiptera; Aphididae
Exons: 3
Source: RefSeq, a predicted model, not a curated record
UAACCAUAUAAAUGUUUCACUUAUAUUAUGCAUAGAUAUAUAAGUACUAUUUUAAUAAAUUUCAAUGAUUGGUUAAUUUUAGUUACCAUCAUGGUCAAGGUAAGUUAUAUAUUUUGUAUAUUUCAUUAGCAAUUAACAUUAAAUACCAAUACAGUUUUUAGUUUUAACCAUAGUUCGUAAGAUAAUAAUAUAAAAUAAAUACUCAUGAUUAAGAACAAUUAUUCCUAUAACCUGCGCAACACAUCAUGGUGAUUUUUUAAUAAUAAAUUAUAAUCUUUCUGCCCAUUCCUUAUUCAAACAAGAUCUACAUAACAAACAAGGUUUAGGUAAUAUCCGUGUUCCUCUGGUCGAUCAUCCAGACCCAUAGCUAUUGCGUGACAUCCAAUCGUAUACAGUCAGCUGUAUGAAAUCAAACGAACCGCAUUGCUGUACGAUAUGAGUAUGUGACUACACAUUUUUAAUGUACUUAUAUGAGAAGUUUUUCUUUUUUGACUAUAUCAAACGAUUGAUAAUUUAAAUAACAUUAUAGUGGUCAGGUUGGAUGUCUGGUUCCAUUCAGUGUGUCACUGUGUCUAAUGAUGAACUGGUUUUUUUUUACCAUGCGGUCAAUGACCUCGAACACUUGAGGCGACAGCACCUUUUCCUUGCUGGAAUAUAGUCAAUUUGAAGCGAACUCUACUACUUCUGACUACUGUACAGACAAAAACUGCCUAAGUAUAUAAAAAUGAAUUCCAAUCAAUAUUUGUGGUUUGAUAUCAUAGGAAGAUUUUCGCGUAUCCCAUAAAAUCCACGCGAAAUUAAGUGUACGAAGUUGAUUUUAUUUUAUUACAUUAUUCAGAAAUCAUAAAGCAGCUAAAUGUGUAAACGAUGAUUUACGUAACAUUUUACAUUUUAUAUCACCUUGAAAAGUGUACCAAAAAUAAAUGAAUGGGUAGAGUAUUGACCAGUUGUACCAAAACAUUGAGUUGUAUAAAAAAAAUGUGGUUUCCCUUGAUUUUUACGUACGUACCUAAUACAAACAUCAAAGUCAGCGGUGGAAAACAAGUACCUAUACCGUCAAUGUCCUGAAAUAACCUAGGUGAAAUUGGCACGUGCUUAUAAUUAACUUAAAAUUUUAUAGGUAGGUAAGAAAAAUCACACAUUAUGAAUAUGCUUCAA